Molecule: ribosomal RNA, 225 nt
Filed under: uncultured Alkalibacter sp.
Lineage: Bacteria; Bacillati; Bacillota; Clostridia; Eubacteriales; Eubacteriaceae
Description: partial 16S ribosomal RNA
Rfam family: Bacterial small subunit ribosomal RNA
Source: RNAcentral
CGCGCAGGCGGUAUCAUAAGUCAGAUGUGAAAGUUCGGGGCUUAACCCCGGAAUUGCAUUUGAAACUGUAAUACUUGAGUACUGGAGAGGUAAGUGGAAUUCCUAGUGUAGCGGUGAAAUGCGUAGAUAUUAGGAGGAACACCAGUGGCGAAGGCGGCUUACUGGACAGAUACUGACGCUGAGGAACGAAAGCGUGGGGAGCAAACAGGAUUAGAUACCCGCGUA